AGGACUCAUUAACCAGAACUGUGGCAGAUAGCUACCCUUUGCUGCAAGGGAGGAAGAGAAAGUGAAUAUUUCACUCGGCAAAAGAGAAAAGUUGGGAAUGUCUGUUGGUUAGCCAUAAGUAUACAUAGAAAGAGCACCUGUUUGCCAUACUCUGUCCUUCAUGAUCCAUUCCUGUUUAUCCCUUACCUGGAUCUCUCUCCCAUGCCUAUUCAUUCAACUAAUAUUUAUUUAGUACAUUCUAUGUGCUAGCUUUUAAGACAUAAUCCCAGGCUCCUAAAGACCUGUAGUCUGAAGCAGCAGACAGCUAGGUAAAGAAGCAAUUAAAAUAUGUCAACUGUGUUAGGAUAGUGAGAAGCAUUGAUUGCUACGGGCAAAUACCUGGCUAGUACUGGAAGAUAUGGGGAAGUUUCCUGAGAUGAAAUAACAUCUAAACCAAGACAUGAAGGUCAUGGAAGGAUCUACCAGAUGAAGAAGUGCAGAAGACAAGACAUAGUCUGGAUCCUCAAGAAGCUUAUCAUCUCAUUGCAAUUUCAUGACUUUAUGCAACCUCAGUGAACAAUGUGAAUUGGCUAUCAAUUACUCAAAGAAAAGAAUAUGUUUAUCACUAAUAUGUAUAUUAAGCCUAACAGUAAACCUGAACUUAAAAAGGUUUUCUUUUUCUAUGAAAAAAGACACACCAUAAUGUCAACUGAGCAUAUACAAAUAUCCAAUGUUGAAGAGAGAUUUGGACUCCUUGAGUUUUACAUAUCUAGAACAAGAUAAAUUUUACAUAGGUUUUGUGAAGCUCUAGUACAAUUGAAGAAUAAAAUUUCUCUUGCACUUA
Molecule: long non-coding RNA, 823 nt
Organism: Suricata suricatta (meerkat)
Lineage: Eukaryota; Metazoa; Chordata; Mammalia; Carnivora; Herpestidae
Exons: 2
Source: RefSeq, a predicted model, not a curated record